Molecule: ribosomal RNA, 410 nt
Filed under: uncultured bacterium
Lineage: Bacteria
Description: bacterial SSU rRNA
Rfam family: Bacterial small subunit ribosomal RNA
Source: RNAcentral
AGAGUUUGAUCCUGGCUCAGAUUGAACGCUGGCGGCAUGCCUUACACAUGCAAGUCGAACGGCAGCGCGGGGGGUAACUCCUGGCGGCGAGUGGCGAACGGGUGAGUAAUAUAUCGGAACGUGCCCUGGAGUGGGGGAUAACUAGUCGAAAGAUUAGCUAAUACCGCAUACGAUCUACGGAUGAAAGUGGGGGAUUCGCAAGAACCUCAUGCUCGUGGAGCGGCCGAUAUCUGAUUAGCUAGUUGGUAGGGUAAAAGCCUACCAAGGCGACGAUCAGUAGCUGGUUUGAGAGAACGACCAGCCACACUGGGACUGAGACACGGCCCAGACUCCUACGGGAGGCAGCAGUGGGGAAUUUUGGACAAUGGGGGCAACCCUGAUCCAGCAAUGCCGCGUGUGUGAAGAAGGCC